This 491-nucleotide ribosomal RNA is filed under the name uncultured bacterium. RNAcentral's name for it is "partial 16S ribosomal RNA". It matches the Rfam family "Bacterial small subunit ribosomal RNA", at positions 29 to 507 of the family's 1533-position model. The record is from RNAcentral.
AGUGAACGCUGGCGGUAGGCCUAACACAUGCAAGUCGAACGGCAGCACAGUAAGAGCUUGCUCUUACGGGUGGCGAGUGGCGGACGGGUGAGGAAUACAUCGGAAUCUACUUUUUCGUGGGGAUAACGUAGGGAAACUUACGCUAACACCGCAUACGACCUACGGGUGAAAGCAGGGGAUCUUCGGACCUUGCGCGAUUGAAUGAGCCGAUGUCGGAUUAGCUAGUUGGCGGGGUAAAGGCCCACCAAGGCGACGAUCCGUAGCUGGUCUGAGAGGAUGAUCAGCCACACUGGAACUGAGACACGGUCCAGACUCCUACGGGAGGCAGCAGUGGGGAAUAUUGGACAAUGGGCGCAAGCCUGAUCCAGCCAUACCGCGUGGGUGAAGAAGGCCUUCGGGUUGUAAAGCCCUUUUGUUGGGAAAGAAAAGCAGCAGGUUAAUACCCCGCUGUUCUGACGGUACCCAAAGAAUAAGCACCGGCUAACUUCGUG